GAUGAAGAACGUAGCAAAAUGCGAUAAGUAAUGUGAAUUGCAGAAUUCAGUGAAUCAUCGAAUCUUUGAACGCACAUUGCGCCCGCUGGUAUUCUGGCGGGCAUGCCUGUCUGAGCGUCAUUUCAACCCUCGCCCCCGGCUUUUGCUGGGAGCGGUGUUGGGGAUCGGCCGCCCGUCACUGGGAGGCCGGCCCCGAAAUAGAGUGGCGACCACGCCGUGUGCUCCUCUGCGUAGUAGUAAAUCACCUCGCAGGCGGACAGCGGUGCGGCCUGCCGUAAAACCCCCAACUCUUUCUGGUUGACCUCAGAUCAGGUAGGAAUACCCGCUGAACUUAAGCAUAUCAAUAAGCGGAGGA
Molecule: unclassified non-coding RNA, 355 nt
Filed under: soil metagenome
Description: partial contains 5.8S ribosomal RNA, internal transcribed spacer 2, and large subunit ribosomal RNA
Rfam family: 5.8S ribosomal RNA (bases 1-120)
Source: RNAcentral